Molecule: ribosomal RNA, 498 nt
Filed under: Vishniacozyma dimennae
Lineage: Eukaryota; Fungi; Basidiomycota; Tremellomycetes; Tremellales; Bulleribasidiaceae
Description: eukaryotic LSU rRNA
Rfam family: 5.8S ribosomal RNA (bases 133-286)
Source: RNAcentral
CCGUAGGUGAACCUGCGGAAGGAUCAUUAAUAGGUCUUCAAGUGGACAUUACACUUGACCCACACACACUGUGAACCGUGGCUUCGGCCCAAACUUUACCAGUAUUGAAUGUAUAACAUGAUAACAAAAAACAACUUUCAACAACGGAUCUCUUGGCUCUCGCAUCGAUGAAGAACGCAGCGAAAUGCGAUAAGUAAUGUGAAUUGCAGAAUUCAGUGAAUCAUCGAAUCUUUGAACGCACCUUGCGCCUUCUGGUAUUCCGGAAGGCAUGCCUGUUUGAGUGUCAUGAACACCUCACCCCCUCGGGUUUCCGAUCGGGUGGACUUGGGCGCCUGCCAUUCACUUGGCUCGCCUUAAAUGCAUUAGCGGUCGUUGACGUAAUAAGUUUCGUCUGGCUGGCCGCUGACAAUCUCCCUUGACCGGGAUGUCUCGCAAGAGACACUUUCAUGAUCUGACCUCAAAUCAGGUAGGACUACCCGCUGAACUUAAGCAUAUCAA